GCAGUCGACGCUGAAGCCUGGUGCUUGCACCGGGUGGAUGAGUGGCGAACGGGUGAGUAACACGUGAGUAACCUGCCCCUGACUUCGGGAUAAGCCCGGGAAACUGGGUCUAAUACCGGAUACGACUGCCGGACGCAUGUCUGGUGGUGGAAAGUUUUUUCGGUUGGGGAUGGGCUCGCGGCCUAUCAGUUUGUUGGUGAGGUAAUGGCUCACCAAGACGACGACGGGUAGCCGGCCUGAGAGGGCGACCGGCCACACUGGGACUGAGACACGGCCCAGACUCCUACGGGAGGCAGCAGUGGGGAAUAUUGCACAAUGGGGGAAACCCUGAUGCAGCGACGCAGCGUGCGGGAUGACGGCCUUCGGGUUGUAAACCGCUUUCAGCAGGGAAGAAGCGCAAGUGACGGUACCUGCAGAAGAAGUACCGGCUAACUACGUGCCAGCAGCCGCGGUAAUACGUAGGGUACGAGCGUUGUCCGGAAUUAUUGGGCGUAAAGAGCUCGUAGGUGGUUGGUCACGUCUGCUGUGGAAACGCAACGCUUAACGUUGCGCGUGCAGUGGGUACGGGCUGACUAGAGUGCAGUAGGGGAGUCUGGAAUUCCUGGUGUAGCGGUGAAAUGCGCAGAUAUCAGGAGGAACACCGGUGGCGAAGGCGGGACUCUGGGCUGUAACUGACACUGAGGAGCGAAAGCAUGGGGAGCGAACAGGAUUAGAUACCCUGGUAGUCCAUGCCGUAAACGUUGGGCACUAGGUGUGGGGGGGCAUUCCACGUUCUCCGCGCCGUAGCUAACGCAUUAAGUGCCCCGCCUGGGGGAGUACGGUCGCAAGGCUAAAACUCAAAGGAAUUGACGGGGGCCCGCACAAGCGGCGGAGCAUGCGGAUUAAUUCGAUGCAACGCGAAGAACCUUACCAAGGCUUGACAUACACCCGGACCGUCCUGGAAACAGGUCCUCUUCUUUGAAGCUGGUGUACAGGUGGGGGCAGGGUUGUCGUCAGCUCGUGUCCUGGAAAUGUUUGGGGUUAAGUCCCGCAACGAGCGCAACCCUCGUUCUAUGUUG
RNAcentral lists this ribosomal RNA (1058 nucleotides) under uncultured bacterium. RNAcentral describes it as "bacterial SSU rRNA". It matches the Rfam family "Bacterial small subunit ribosomal RNA", at positions 57 to 1117 of the family's 1533-position model. The record is from RNAcentral.